CUCGUAGUUGGAUUUCUGGCGGGAGGAGCCGGUCUGGUCCGAGAGGACUGCGUACUUGGUUGUCUCUGGCCAUCCUUGCGGAGAGCGCGUGGUGCAUUAAGUUGUUCUGCGCGGGACCCGCAUCGUUUACUGUGAAAAAAUUAGAGUGUUUAAAGCAGGCAUUUGCUUGAAUACAUUAGCAUGGAAUAAUAAGAUAGGACUUUGGUGCUAUUUUGUUGGUUUGCGCACCGUAGUAAUGAUUAAUAGGGAUAGUUGGGGGUAUUCAUAUUUAAUUGUCAGAGGUGAAAUUCUUGGAUUUAUGAAAGAUGAACUUCUGCGAAAGCUUUUACCAAGGAUGUUUUCAUUAAUCAAGAACGAAAGUUAGGGGGAUCGAAGAUGAUUAGAUACCAUCGUAGUCUUAACCCAUAAAACUAUGCCGACUAGGGAUUGGCGGGUCGUUAUUUCAUGACUCCCGUCAGGCACCUUUAUGAGAAAUCAAAGUCUUUGGGUUUCGGGGGGGAGUAUGGUCCGCAAGGCUGAAAACUUUAAAGGAAUUGACGGAAGGGCACCACCAGGAGUGGAGCCUGCGGCUUAAUUUGACUUCAACACGGGGGAAACUUA
This 600-nucleotide ribosomal RNA is filed under the name uncultured eukaryote. Its description in RNAcentral is "bacterial SSU rRNA". It matches the Rfam family "Eukaryotic small subunit ribosomal RNA", at positions 627 to 1217 of the family's 1831-position model. The record is from RNAcentral.